AACACCUACUGCAUCUGUUCAAUAGAAUAAGAGACACAGGCUGAUGACUCGGGCUCUCCCUCAAGUUCCAGCAGUAGGACAUGACAAGAUCUGUCAGCAUUGUGGCAAGGAUUAUGGGGAACGAUUCUGCUUUCACCUCAACAACACCUGCUGCAUAUGUGGUAUUACCCAACAGUAUACGAAGGAGUGCCCAAGGAACCAAAAACAGGUCAGACCUCCUGUUCAGGACAGAGCUUAAAAUCUCACAUAGCAAGAUGCAGAAGCCAACCUGAACAUGGUAAAUGGUAUGUACACUAUUUGUAAGCAUCUUGCUCAUGUUUUGAUUGAUACUGGUGC
RNAcentral lists this long non-coding RNA (336 nucleotides) under Carica papaya (papaya). RNAcentral describes it as "long non-coding RNA (CPAP_LNC002443)". Lineage: Eukaryota; Viridiplantae; Streptophyta; Magnoliopsida; Brassicales; Caricaceae. The record is from RNAcentral.